UAUACCACAAAACUUGCUUCUUUUUCUACCUCAUUUGUCUCCUGGCACACAAUAUUAAAUUCCCAACGUGGACCUCCGAUUGGCUGGACGGCUGCUCGCUGGUCACGUGAUUUGUAGAUUUAGACUUGGCGCGCUUUGGUGAUUGGGCCGCGCGCCUCUCCUCCCCCCGACUCUCCUGCUGCAGUAUUUACGACCAUCGGCUGGGAUUCCUCGGCUGUGUUUCCUUUUCUGGGCCUUCGGUUUUAUCAGAAAAUUCUCCUCCUCUUACUAAUAAUCACCGAGGCUCCACAUGCUGUAAUAUUCUCCCUCAGCGGCGCGGGGUUGUUCUGGCAGCUCUCGGCGUCGGCUCCACCCCACCGAAAGCACUAUGGGGAGGGGGGCUGAUGGGACGCUAGGGGAGGGGUGUAGCAGCAGGGAGUAAAACUGUGGCUGUGAUAAUCUUGUUUUUUAUUGAGGGAAAAUCGUUACAGUCAACAUUAAGUGGCUCACAACGCGUAGUCUUCAUGCUGAUAGGACACUGACAGCUGCCCGGUGCAUGCUUCCUCCUCCUCCUCCUCCUCCUCCUCCUCCAGAACCACCAUCAUCCCUCCCUCUCCACCUCCGCUGCUUGGGGUGGUGGGGGUGGGUCAGGGCGGGCGGUGGAGGGGGAGAGAGGGCGGGAAGUGGGUGAUCUCUUGUGUUGGCGAGAGGGAAAUACAGUUCGUGGAAUGUUUAUCCUUCACUGCUUUAGGAGGAGGAGCGAGCGAGGAGGAGGAGGAGGAGGAGGAGGGGGAGGAGUUUGUGGUGGUGGAUCCAGUCAAAUAGAAAAGAACAGGAAAGUUUGAUCUUAUGUUCUUGGCAGCGGAGGAGGAGGUGGAAGAGGUGGAGAUUUAAUGGCUUUAGAAGAGAUGGAGGCUUGAGACGAGGUGGUGAGAGAAGAAAACUAACAUAUGUGGAGGAGAAGGCAGAGACAGAAGAGGAAGAGGAGGUGGAGGAGGAGGUAGAGGUGGAAGAGGUGGAGAUUUAAUGGCUUUAGAAGAGAUGGGGCUUGAGACGAGGUGGUGAGAGAAGAAAACUAACAUAUGUGGAGGUGGAAGAGGAGGCAGAAACAGAAGAGGAAGAAGAGGAGGUGGAGGAGGAGAAAUGGAGGAGGGGGAGGUAGGGAAAGGGAUUGAUUAGCUUUAGAGGAGAUGGAGGCUUUCAAACGAGGUGGAGAGAGAGGAAAAAUAACAUAUGAGGAGGUGGAGAUGGAGGUGGAAGCGGAGGGAGUGGAGGAGGAGAAAUGGAGUUGGUAGAGGUAUAAAGAAAAUUGAAUAGCUUUAGAAGAGAUGGAGGCUUUCAAACGAGGUGGAGAGAGGGAAAAGAAUAAAUAAAAGAAUAUGUCUGUUCAAAGAAGGUCAAGAAAAGACAUAUACUUAAGGCUGAAGAAUCGGAUUUAAAGGUGACUGGUUCUGACGGCGGCGGUGACGUGGGGCAGGCGACAGUGUUUUGUUUUAGGUGAAGUGAAGGGACAAGGUCAUUUGGGUGCAUGGGGAGGUCCUCUUCUUCCUCUUCUCGUCCUCUUGUAUGCCUCCUCUUACCUCUUUGUCACUUGUUACAGACCUCUUGAUUCAGCCGCGCUCUCUAUACGGAUUUUUUUUUUUUCUUUUCUAUUCCUCCUUUGCCUUCUUUCUUCUAUGGCUCCUCUUUCUUCUCCUCCUCAUCCUCCCCCUCCUCGGUACACGCACACACGAACACACUACCACAUCAACAACAGCAAACACUCAACAACGACAAUAAAUUAUAGAACUGAGGUAUUGAAGGAGUAGCCCCCACCCCCCACCAAUGACUUUGUACACACACACACACACACACACACACACACACACACACACACACACACGCGCGCACAUGUGUCCCAAAGUACAUGUUUCCACCUGGGUGAAUGUCAAUUUUACGUGCGUUACUUCCUCGAUCAAGCCUUUAAUGUGUGUGUAAAUGAGAGGUUAUACACGUGCAGCGAUAUCAACAUACACACACACACACACACACACACACACACACACACACACACACA
This is a long non-coding RNA of Eriocheir sinensis (Chinese mitten crab), 2035 nucleotides long. RefSeq lists it as uncharacterized. The record is from RefSeq and is a predicted model, not a curated record. The transcript is spliced from 2 exons. Lineage: Eukaryota; Metazoa; Arthropoda; Malacostraca; Decapoda; Varunidae.